This 66-nucleotide transfer RNA is filed under the name Dendronotus frondosus (frond-aeolis). Its description in RNAcentral is "tRNA-Ala". The record is from RNAcentral. Lineage: Eukaryota; Metazoa; Mollusca; Gastropoda; Nudibranchia; Dendronotidae.
GUUACUAUACUUUAUAGUUAGAAGAUCUGGUUUGCAACUAGACAGAGGGUGAAUGCCCUAGUACCA